UUUUAAUGUAACUGUCAUUUUAAAUAACCUUUAAAAUACAAAAUAUACAUACUAUGCACAGUUUAGUGAAAUUGUAUCCGGCUGUUUUCACCCUUCACUACGACGUUCUCUCACCUUGUGCUGACAUUUCCAUUGGACCAUUCCACAUAUCUGGAUACAUCGCACAUAUCUCUCUAAAUAAAGCCAGGUGCAGCUUUCCUAGACUGUGUACUGGCCGGCUGGAGAGUUCAAAGAAAACAGGGAAGAACACCAAGUCUUACUACUCAAAGACAAAGGAAAAAGAAAACCGAAAGGAAUGGAGAAGGAAACUGAAAAAAAGAGGCACCGAUUCACCCCUGGAGAUGAGGAUCUUAUUAUUUCAGGGGUACUUGGGCACUGGGAGGACCUCUUCGGCGCCCAGGCCCACAUUCGCCCCCGGGGGUCAAAGACUGCAACCUGGAACACCAUCGCUGGGACCUUGACCUCGGCUGUGGCGAGAUGUGGUGACGAUGUCCGGAAGAAAUACAAUCUCAUAAGGAGCCAAAUCAAGCAAAAGGUUUCUUCUAUCCGGACAUGGUCCACCCAGACUGGUGGGGGGCCCAACACCGUGCCGGCGCUGACCGACCUGGAGCAGCAACUUUUCUCCCGAAUGGCAGAGACCGAAGCUGGUGUAGGGCCUGUUGAUUUGGGAUUUGGUCUCUCUCAGGGAGAAAUCUCCAGCUCUGGUCCCCCACCAGCAGCAGAGGGAACUGUGGAGGCAGCUUUACCCUCUGUCACCAUGGAGGAGCUACCCUCCACCUCACCAUCAACACCUUGGCCAGCACCAACAGUGCCACCCCAACCCAUCACCUCCCGUCCUGCACCAGCUCACUCAAUCCACUCUCAAUCAAUGAAUCAAAUUUAUUUUAUAAAGCCCUUUUUACAUCAGCAGUUGUCACAAAGUGCUUUACAGAUACCCAGCCUGAAACCCCAAAUAGCAAGCAAUGCAGAUGCACUCUCUGGCACCGCACCCCAACCCAUCACCUCCUGUCCUGCACCAGCUCAUUCCAUCCACUCUGGCUUUGCUCCCCAACCCAUCACCUCCUGUCCUGCACCAGCUCAUUCCAUCCACUCUGGCUUUGCUCCCCAACCCAUUACCUCCUGUCCUGCACCAGCUCAUUCCAUCCACUCUGGCUUUGCUCCCCAACCCAUCACCUCCUGUCCUGCACCAGCUCAUUCCAUCCACUCUGGCUUUGCUCCCCAACCCAUCACCUCCUGUCCUGCACCAGCUCACUCCAUCCACUCUGACUCUACACCCCAACCCAUCACGUCUGGCUGGACACCACAAGGCCCCCAAGCCAAUCUGCUCCAACAAAUCCUGGAGACACAAACGCAACAAAUCCAUGUUACACAGACCGCCCAGCACAUCCACCAAGCUCUUUAUGAUUUAUUAGAAAAAGCACAUGAAACACAGAAGGCACACCUGGAUGUGGAGAAGAACCGGCUCCAGCUGGAUAGAGAGCGCUUGAGGGUGGAGACAGAGCGCCUGCAGGUGGAGAGGGAGCGCCUCAAGAUGGAGAAGGAUCGCCUGGGGGAAGGGGAGGCGCUUCGGCAGCUCUCUGUCUCUGGGUCAGUCGCCCUAGAACACCAGACGCCUGUGAGUUCAAGAACUGUCAGUGCCUCCCCCACCCUUCCUCUGGGAACACCAUCAGCCUCCAUGUCCAGUCCCCUCACAUUAAUAUCACCUACUGCACCACACUUUGAUUUCUUAUUUUCCCCAUUCCCAUUACCGGUAAUCACAACCCAUUCCACCCAGCCAUCACAAACCAGCCCUGCCUCAACCUCCCCUGACUUAACCAGCCCUGCCCCAACCUCCCCUACCUUAAAAAUUCCUGCCUCAACCUCUCCUACCUUAACCAGCCCUGCCCCAACCUCUCCUACCUUAACCGUUUCUGCCCACUCUCUCAUCCCUCCAAUCUCCGGAUCUGUUAAACGGCGAGUUCAGGAGACAGUCCGGCCUUGGCCUGGACCCACUGCCAAGAAUACAAAACACCAAUAAACAAAUGUAAUAAAAUACAA
This is a long non-coding RNA of Oncorhynchus tshawytscha (Chinook salmon), 2037 nucleotides long. The record is from Ensembl. NCBI's taxonomy places the organism in Eukaryota, Metazoa, Chordata, Actinopteri, Salmoniformes, Salmonidae.